RNAcentral lists this long non-coding RNA (568 nucleotides) under Brassica napus (rape). RNAcentral's name for it is "long non-coding RNA (BNAP_LNC026764)". Lineage: Eukaryota; Viridiplantae; Streptophyta; Magnoliopsida; Brassicales; Brassicaceae. The record is from RNAcentral.
AGCCGGAAGUUGGUGUUGCAUAUUAAUAUUAAGCGGUUCAAUUUGGUGAGAUGAAAGGGCCACAUAAUUCCAAUCAUGACAUUUCUUCAUUUAAUGUAUAUGUCAAAAAAUUGAGAAAGCAUUCAUACACAACUAUUUUUACAUCAGCCUAAUCAUACUAUUUACGAAUGUAGAACAAUGUUGGUUGGGUAUGAAAAUUUGGGUGGACUAUACUAUUUUGAUAUAGUAUAGUAUGUCAUGUUUUUAUGUAACUAUGGUUUCAGUCCGUCCACUUAAAUUACACCUAUCGCUAAGGUUGAGUCUUAAGGAAAUUCAUUUAUAAGUCAAGGAAAGAGAAGACAUAUUUGCACAUCGGGAUAAUCAUACUAUUUAUGGACGCAUAUUGUAUAUACUACCAUGAUUUGUAUACCUAAACAUGUAAAACACUCAAUCGCCAUUGCAACAUCAUUCAUACCGUUUCAUAUAAUUGGAACACUUAUUUAGCACGGUCCCAAAACACUAUCUUUCUUAAUCGUCUUCUUAAGCAUGAGUACAUACAUGCAUUUUUAUAUUAAGUUCAUGUGGAGAC